AGCGAACGCUGGCGGCAGGCUUAACACAUGCAAGUCGAGCGGGCGUAGCAAUACGUCAGCGGCAGACGGGUGAGUAACGCGUGGGAACGUACCUUUUGGUUCGGAACAACACAGGGAAACUUGUGCUAAUACCGGAUAAGCCCUUACGGGGAAAGAUUUAUCGCCGAAAGAUCGGCCCGCGUCUGAUUAGCUAGUUGGUGAGGUAACGGCUCACCAAGGCGACGAUCAGUAGCUGGUCUGAGAGGAUGAUCAGCCACAUUGGGACUGAGACACGGCCCAAACUCCUACGGGAGGCAGCAGUGGGGAAUAUUGGACAAUGGGGGCAACCCUGAUCCAGCCAUGCCGCGUGAGUGAUGAAGGCCCUAGGGUUGUAAAGCUCUUUUGUGCGGGAAGAUAAUGACGGUACCGAAAGAAUAAGCCCCUGCUAACUUCGUG
This 435-nucleotide ribosomal RNA is filed under the name uncultured bacterium. RNAcentral's name for it is "partial 16S ribosomal RNA". It matches the Rfam family "Bacterial small subunit ribosomal RNA", at positions 29 to 507 of the family's 1533-position model. The record is from RNAcentral.